RNAcentral lists this ribosomal RNA (253 nucleotides) under uncultured bacterium. RNAcentral's name for it is "partial 16S ribosomal RNA". It matches the Rfam family "Bacterial small subunit ribosomal RNA", at positions 524 to 776 of the family's 1533-position model. The record is from RNAcentral.
UACAGAGGUCUCAAGCGUUGUUCGGAUUCAUUGGGCGUAAAGGGUGCGUAGGCGGCGCGGUAAGUCGGGUGUGAAAUCUCGGGGCUUAACUCCGAAACUGCAUUCGAUACUGCCGUGCUUGAGGACUGGAGAGGAGACUGUAAUUUACGGUGUAGCAGUGAAAUGCGUAGAUAUCGUAAGGAAGACCAGUGGCGAAGGCGAGUCUCUGGACAGUUACCGACGCUGAGGCACGAAGGCCAGGGGAGCAAACGGG